UAAACGGACAUGCCAAGUUUAGUCUGUGCUU
Molecule: non-coding RNA, 31 nt
Filed under: Mus musculus (house mouse)
Lineage: Eukaryota; Metazoa; Chordata; Mammalia; Rodentia; Muridae
Source: RNAcentral